This 554-nucleotide ribosomal RNA is filed under the name Saccharomyces cerevisiae (brewer's yeast). Its description in RNAcentral is "eukaryotic LSU rRNA". It matches the Rfam family "Eukaryotic large subunit ribosomal RNA", at positions 102 to 668 of the family's 3401-position model. The record is from RNAcentral. Lineage: Eukaryota; Fungi; Ascomycota; Saccharomycetes; Saccharomycetales; Saccharomycetaceae.
CAAAGGCUCAAAUUUCGAAUCUAGCACCUUCGGUGUUCGAGUUGUAAUUUGAAGAUGGUAACCUUGGGUUUGGCUCUUGUCUAUGUUCCUUGGAACAGGACGUCAUAGAGGGUGAGAAUCCCGUCUGAUGAGAUGCCCAUUCCUAUGUAAGGUGCUAUCGAAGAGUCGAGUUGUUUGGGAAUGCAGCUCUAAGUGGGUGGUAAAUUCCAUCUAAAGCUAAAUAUUGGCGAGAGACCGAUAGCGAACAAGUACAGUGAUGGAAAGAUGAAAAGAACUUUGAAAAGAGAGUGAAAAAGUACGUGAAAUUGUUGAAAGGGAAGGGCAUUAGAUCAGACUUGGUGUUUUACGAUUAUCUUCUCUUCUUGAGUUGUGCACUCGUAUUUCACUGGGCCAGCAUCGAUUCGGAUGGCAAGAUAAUGGCAGUUGAAUGUGGCUUCACUUCGGUGGAGUGUUAUAGCUUCUGCUGAUAUUGCCUGUCUGGAUCGAGGGCUGCGUCUUUUGACUAGGAUGCUGGCGUAAUGAUCUAAUGCCGCCCGUCUUGAAAACACGGACCA